ACGCUCGACACCUACGGGAGGCGGCAGUCGGGAAUAUUGCGCAAUGGAGGAAACUCUGACGCAGUGACGCCGCGUAUAGGAAGAAGGUUUUCGGAUUGUAAACUAUUGUCGUUAGGGAAGAAAAAAGACAGUACCUAAGGAGGAAGCUCCGGCUAACUACGUGCCAGCAGCCGCGGUAAUCUGAGCGGGCUGGCAAGGC
Molecule: ribosomal RNA, 199 nt
Filed under: uncultured bacterium
Lineage: Bacteria
Description: partial 16S ribosomal RNA
Rfam family: Bacterial small subunit ribosomal RNA
Source: RNAcentral